UGAGGUGUAGAAUAUACG
This 18-nucleotide unclassified non-coding RNA is filed under the name Chlamydomonas reinhardtii. RNAcentral's name for it is "small RNA Cre_2945". The record is from RNAcentral. Lineage: Eukaryota; Viridiplantae; Chlorophyta; Chlorophyceae; Chlamydomonadales; Chlamydomonadaceae.